UUUGUGCAAAGGUAAGCAUAAUCAUUUGUUCAGUAAUUCUGAAAUGGGACGAACGAUACCAUUAAUCUAAUACUGUUUAUAUUGAGAACAUAAAAUUUUUUAUUUUUGGNAAAAAGGGAAANUCCCCNGGGAAGGCCAGGAGGCCCNNGUAAUUUUUCCCUUUCCCUGUUUUAGUGCAAUUAGGAUAUGUUCAACUGGGGAAGUUAUAUAAAAAUAAACAUAAAAAAAUGUAAACCUAACAUUUGAAAUAACCAGAAUUUUUGGAAAUAAAACAAGAUACUACAGGGAUAACAGCACAAUUCAUUAAAAGAGUCCUUAUCAAAUAACGAUCUUAUGACCUCGACGGGAAUUAAGAAAACAUUUAAUGAAAAGAUAAAAAAUUAGUCGU
This 388-nucleotide ribosomal RNA is filed under the name Chaerilus sp. VF-2003. Its description in RNAcentral is "partial 16S ribosomal RNA". The record is from RNAcentral. Lineage: Eukaryota; Metazoa; Arthropoda; Arachnida; Scorpiones; Chaerilidae.